This 156-nucleotide small nuclear RNA is filed under the name Carlito syrichta (Philippine tarsier). RNAcentral describes it as "U1 spliceosomal RNA (ENSTSYG00000033508.1)". It matches the Rfam family "U1 spliceosomal RNA". Rfam says of the family: U1 is a small nuclear RNA (snRNA) component of the spliceosome (involved in pre-mRNA splicing). Its 5' end forms complementary base pairs with the 5' splice junction, thus defining the 5' donor site of an intron. The record is from RNAcentral. Lineage: Eukaryota; Metazoa; Chordata; Mammalia; Primates; Tarsiidae.
ACACAAACCUGGCAAAUACCAGGAUCACAAAGGUGGUUUUCUUCAGGCCAAGAAGUGCAUGCUUGUCUCCAUUGCUGACCCUGCAGUUUCCCCAAAUGUGGGAAACUCGACUACAUAAUUUGUGGUGGUUGAAGACCUCAUUCACGCUUUCUCCUA